Molecule: long non-coding RNA, 484 nt
Filed under: Homo sapiens (human)
Lineage: Eukaryota; Metazoa; Chordata; Mammalia; Primates; Hominidae
Description: HSALNT0393351
Source: RNAcentral
UUUUAUUUUCACUUCCCCAAACCAACCUACCACGAAGCAGAGAGGACCUGUUUUCUCAUAUCAUCACAUCUGAUGGAUAUGCCAAACUUCAUCCAAAUUCAAACAGGCACACCCUGAAUGACAUGGGGAAAUGGAAGGAGAAAAAAAAAAACAAUGCUAAAAAGCCUAGAGAUGACCACAUAUGAAACGACCAUGUGUGUAAAGGAUUGCUGGAAAAUAAAUCAGAGAUGGCCUGGAUUCUGCCAUGUAAAUCAAAGAAGAGAGGGCCUAACUCAGCUGCCUAGCCUGGAUCACCUGGAACCCAUUAGGAUACAGGAUCAUAAACACCUCUAUUUUCCCUUCAGAGAGAGACCAGAACCACUGGAGUUAAGCUACCUGCAUAAGAGUUGAGUGCGAUCAGCUGUACUUAAUCUUUAAAUGUCCAACCCACUGAUAACCUUUGGUUUGCUUUGAUAACUAUGAAAUAAAUUCUCACUGCAUUGGA